RNAcentral lists this ribosomal RNA (508 nucleotides) under uncultured bacterium. Its description in RNAcentral is "partial 16S ribosomal RNA". It matches the Rfam family "Bacterial small subunit ribosomal RNA", at positions 30 to 523 of the family's 1533-position model. The record is from RNAcentral.
AUUGAACGCUGGCGGCAUGCCUUACACAUGCAAGUCGAACGGCAGCGGGGGAGAAGCUUGCUUUUCCUGCCGGCGAGUGGCGAACGGGUGAGUAAUACAUCGGAACGUGCCCUGUAGUGGGGGAUAACUAGUCGAAAGAUUAGCUAAUACCGCAUACGACCUGAGGGUGAAAGUGGGGGACCGCAAGGCCUCAUGCUAUAGGAGCGGCCGACGUCUGAUUAGCUAGUUGGUGGGGUACAGGCCUACCAAGGCGACGAUCAGUAGCUGGUCUGAGAGGACGAUCAGCCACACUGGGACUGAGACACGGCCCAGACUCCUACGGGAGGCAGCAGUGGGGAAUUUUGGACAAUGGGCGAAAGCCUGAUCCAGCAAUGCCGCGUGUGUGAAGAAGGCCUUCGGGUUGUAAAGCACUUUUGUCCGGAAAGAAAUGGCUCUGGUUAAUACCUGGGGUCGAUGACGGUACCGGAAGAAUAAGGACCGGCUAACUACGUGCCAGCCGCCGCGGUAA